GUAGGCCUCCCUGAAACCUGAACUCGAGUAGGCCCCAAGCAAGGAAGGAAGGAAGGAGGAAGCAGGCAGCAGACCCUCUGCCCAGACCAGACCAUCCAGAACAGCUAUUGCUAGGUUAAUGAGGCUAUAAAAAGGAAGAACUGAAAUGGCAAGCCAAUCAGAAAGGUCAAAGUGGCACAGUACACCACUAUUGCUGACAAAAUAUAUGAGACAUUAAAAUUUGGAUACCUCAUUCUUAGUGACAUGUAAUAAGAACUAUAGAGGAAAAUUUGCAGAAAAUCAUCCUGACAAAUUUCACUAGUCUCAUCCACAUUAUUUUAGCCUUAUACAAAAUUGUGGCUGCUGUGGGACCCUGAGAAGAACUUUCCUAAUUUACUCUGAAUUUUACUUAAGGCAAAAUUGCGUGGCAUCAACAGAAGACCAUUAUCUCCUGCUGUCAGAGCAGCUUGGCAACAUGAGAACGAGAAGAGGAAUAUUUGUCAGGCUUAUGCCA
Hemicordylus capensis (graceful crag lizard) is the source of this 493-nucleotide long non-coding RNA. RefSeq lists it as uncharacterized. NCBI's taxonomy places the organism in Eukaryota, Metazoa, Chordata, Lepidosauria, Squamata, Cordylidae. The record is from RefSeq and is a predicted model, not a curated record. The transcript is spliced from 3 exons.